This 450-nucleotide long non-coding RNA is filed under the name Marmota monax (woodchuck). Lineage: Eukaryota; Metazoa; Chordata; Mammalia; Rodentia; Sciuridae. The record is from RNAcentral.
UGUGCCCACCCUCUGUCCGAAGCCCAGGCUGUCCCCUCUGGGUCGCCCCCUCAAGCCCAACUGGGGACAUAGGGACUCCUGAAGGCAGGGUGGGGUCCCUCAAGGGCUAGCUGUCGUCUUGGGCUCCCCAGGCACCCCAAUUGCAGGCUGCUAGUGAGGAAGAGGGAAGGGCAGGCAGGGUCUUUUCUGGGAGACUCGGGGUUGAUCAGUGCGGGUUCUGGAACCUGAGGGGAGAAGAGGGCAGAGAAGCAGAAUAGUUUGUGCUCUUUUUUUUUUCUUUCCCUUUUUAAAUUCUUCCUCUACUGGGCAUCUGGACAAGGAGAACAGGAUUCAGUAGUUUGGAAGGGGAGUUUAGGAGAAGCAGCGACGGCUAGAGUAGGUAGGCGAGUAAGAGGAGGAGGAAGGGCUGGGGAGAAGAGCGAGGCUGUAGCGGCUGCCUGUUGAGGGAGG